Molecule: ribosomal RNA, 465 nt
Filed under: uncultured Klebsiella sp.
Lineage: Bacteria; Pseudomonadati; Pseudomonadota; Gammaproteobacteria; Enterobacterales; Enterobacteriaceae
Description: bacterial SSU rRNA
Rfam family: Bacterial small subunit ribosomal RNA
Source: RNAcentral
CCUACGGGGGGCAGCAGUGGGGAAUAUUGCACAAUGGGCGCAGGCCUGAUGCAGCCAUGCCGCGUGUGUGAAGAAGGCCUUCGGGUUGUAAAGCACUUUCAGCGGGGAGGAAGGCGUUAAGGUUAAUAACCUUGGCGAUUGACGUUACCCGCAGAAGAAGCACCGGCUAACUCCGUGCCAGCAGCCGCGGUAAUACGGAGGGUGCAAGCGUUAAUCGGAAUUACUGGGCGUAAAGCGCACGCAGGCGGUCUGUCAAGUCGGAUGUGAAAUCCCCGGGCUUAACCUGGGAACUGCAUUCGAAACUGGCAGGCUAGAGUCUUGUAGAGGGGGGUAGAAUUCCAGGUGUAGCGGUGAAAUGCGUAGAGAUCUGGAGGAAUACCGGUGGCGAAGGCGGCCCCCUGGACAAAGACUGACGCUCAGGUGCGAAAGCGUGGGGAGCAAACAGGAUUAGAUACCCGGGUAGUC